RNAcentral lists this ribosomal RNA (1372 nucleotides) under Watsoniomyces obsoletus. RNAcentral's name for it is "partial large subunit ribosomal RNA". It matches the Rfam family "Eukaryotic large subunit ribosomal RNA", at positions 48 to 1439 of the family's 3401-position model. The record is from RNAcentral. Lineage: Eukaryota; Fungi; Ascomycota; Lichinomycetes; Lichinales; Porocyphaceae.
AAGCGGAGGACAAGAAACCAACAGGGAUUGCCUCAGUAACGGCGAGUGAAGCGGCAACAGCUCAGAUUUGAAAUCUGGCCUCCUUCCGGGGGUCCGAGUUGUAGUCUGCAGAGGAUGCUUCUGGUGCGGCCGGGCCCAAGUCCCUUGGAACAGGGCGUCAGAGAGGGUGAGAGCCCCGUCUGUGGCCCGGUGUCUGCUCAGUUGUAAGCUCCUUCGACGAGUCGAGUUGUUUGGGAAUGCAGCUCCAAGCGGGUGGUAAAUCUCAUCUAAAGCUAAAUACCAGCCGGAGACCGAUAGCGCACAAGUAGAGUGAUCGAAAGAUGAAAAGCACUUUGGAAAGAGAGUCAAACAGCACGUGAAAUUGUUGAAAGGGAAGCGCUCGCGACCAGACCCGGCCGCGGCCGAUCCGCCGACGUUCUCGUCGGCCAACUCGGCCGGGGCUGGGCCAGCAUCGGCUCGGGGGGUGGAAUGAAGGCGCGGGGAAUGUAGCUCCCUUCGGGGUGUGUUAUAGCCCGGCGUCACACGCCAUCCUCCCGGGUCGAGGCCCGCGCUCCGGCAAGGAUGCUGGCGUAAUGGUCGUCAGCGACCCGUCUUGAAACACGGACCAAGGAGUCUAACAUCCACGCGAGUGUUUGGGCGUCAAACCCAAGCGCGCAAUGAAAGUAAACGGAGGUGGGAGCCCCCGGGCGCACCAUCGACCGAUCCGGAUGUCAUCGGAUGGAUUUGAGUACGAGCGUGGCUGUUGGGACCCGAAAGAUGGUGAACUAUGCUUGGAUAGGGUGAAGCCAGAGGAAACUCUGGUGGAGGCUCGCAGCGGUUCUGACGUGCAAAUCGAUCGUCAAAUCUGUGCAUAGGGGCGAAAGACUAAUCGAACCAUCUAGUAGCUGGUUCCUGCCGAAGUUUCCCUCAGGAUAGCAGUAACGAGAGCAGUUUUAUGAGGUAAAGCGAAUGAUUAGAGGCCUUGGGGUUGAAACAACCUUAACCUAUUCUCAAACUUUAAAUGUGUAAGAAGUCCUUGUUGCUUAGUUGAACGUGGACACUCGAAUGCACCGUUACUAGUGGGCCAUUUUUGGUAAGCAGAACUGGCGAUGCGGGAUGAACCGAACGCGGGGUUAAGGUGCCGGAAUGCACGCUCAUCAGACACCACAAAAGGUGUUGGUUCAUCCAGACAGCAGGACGGUGGCCAUGGAAGUCGGAAUCCGCUAAGGAGUGUGUAACAACUCACCUGCCGAAUGAACUAGCCCUGAAAAUGGAUGGCGCUCAAGCGUGCUACCCAUACCCCGCCGCCAGGGUAGGAACGAUGCCCUGGCGAGUAGGCAGGCGUGGGGGCCCGUGACGAAGCCUUGGGAGUGAUCCCGGGUCGAACGGCCCC